Molecule: non-coding RNA, 249 nt
Organism: Cinara cedri
Lineage: Eukaryota; Metazoa; Arthropoda; Insecta; Hemiptera; Aphididae
Source: the annotation of a GenBank genome assembly
UGCACCAGGAUAAAGCGUGAAGCGUUAUUUGGCCGCUUAAGGCACUCCAGUACUCGAACACGCGUCUUACUCACUCGACUUGGCACCCUGCGACUUUUACUUGUUUCCGAAGAUAAAGUCUGCCUUAAAAGGAAUCCGGUUUGAGUCGAUGGAAGAGGUGAAACUAAAAUCGGCGGAAAGGUGAAACUAAAAUCGGCGGAACUCCUGAAUGGUCUUACGAAAACAGACUUCCAGCACUGCCUCGAGCAA